CUAAAAUAUUGCAUUAUUGGAUUGCUAUCUGAAAGCCAAUUACCAUUAGUCAUUCUUUACGCAGACAAUCAGCUAAAAACAACUCUACGGUGCAGUUCUUUCAGUGCAGCUAUUUCUUGUCAUGCUUCAGCCUCGGAAAAUAUUUGUUUUUUCACAACAUUAACGGUUACAAUAUUGUGGCAGAUGGCAGGGAGAUGAGGGGAGUGGUGAUUGAAGGGAGAUAUCUUUCAGCCCACUGGCUCCACCCCCGAGCCUUAUAUGGACUUCCUGCACCAACGAGGAAAGCCUGUGGAUUAUUAGGCCAUGGAGUGCUUGGGGAUAAAAGAGGAAGCGGGCUGCACAAACAGAGAGAGGACUGAGAGGAGAGUGCGAAAAGAGAGUACAAAAGAUAAAUAAUUAUCUGUGUGAUUACUCGUUUUGACCUGGAAUGUCUGAUUACCCCCACUGUGUACCAAACCGUUUAGGCUGAGGACCCGAGUUUAAGGAUUAUUCCUGGAGAACGGAACGAACACUAAGAACGGAUUGUGGACUGUGAACUGGUUGCUGGAUUCCCCUCUUUCCCCCAGUGUGCAAAUCUCCCUAAUAAAUUCCCCAUUUGUGUUCUAGUUGUGCUUCGUGUGUGUGUUUGGUUAUUGAACUUGGUGACUUGGAAACCCCACCCCCUUGAGCCUGCUACAUGUGGUGGAGAAUGCGGGCACCCCAAACCAGGCUCAAUAACUAAACGGACACAUAGCACAAUGGAAACAUUGGUGAAACAGCUGGUGGAGGCGAACAUAGUGCAGCAGGCUAUGCAUCGGGAACUGCUGGAGGAAAAGUGUCAGCAGACCGCUCUCCUGCGAGCUGAACUCAGCCAGCUGACAGCCACCCAGGCACAGCAGUCACUCGUCCCAAAUCCAGUAGGUUUAUACUAAAGUUGACAGAGGCUGACAACAUUGAGGCUUACUUGAAAGACUUUGAGAGGACGGUGGCUGGGGAGAAAUGGCCCCAUGAGCAAUGGGCCAGCCUGCUAGCACCCUUUCUGUCAGAUGCGACACAGAAGACCUAUGAGGAUCUGACAGCUGACCAGGCGCCGCAUUACGAGUGGCUGAAAAAGGAAAUCCUGCGCCAGAAUGGUUACACCCUGAUUAACAAGGCACAAAGAUUCCAUGAUUGAGCGUAUGAUGCUAUAGCAUCCCCCCGAUCGCAAAUGCAUGAUCUAAUUAGGCUGGCCAAGAGCUGGCUAACUGCUGAACCACUGAUGCUCACACCCAUUGAGAAAGUGGUCAUUGAUACAUUUCUACACUCUCUCCCAUUCGAAGCUGUUGUGUUCAAAAUUUUGAACAUUGAGAUAUUAAAUAAAUGAUGGAUAGAAUCAAAGGAGAAAGUUAGGGGUUCUCUGUAGAAGGACAGAUAGCUGUGGAAUGUGUUGGAAUGUGUUGGGGGACGGGAGCAGAGCACCGUGUUGAUACAGGAAAGACAGAUGGACAUCUGUGUAUUAGAUGGAGGGGUUGAGGUGAGGAGAUGAGGACAGGUCACCUGAAGGGAGUAAUAAGGUUUUGGGAUCUUGUUACUCUUUUCCUGUUAAACCAUAAACUAAGGAUUGUAGAGAGGGAGUGUCUUAAGUAGGAGGUAUAUAACUGUGAUGUGAGAAAUGUUUUGCUGUCUGAUUACAGCUGUACAGAACCUUUGGGAAGAAUUAAACUUGGCUAAAGCUCC
Long non-coding RNA from Oncorhynchus tshawytscha (Chinook salmon), 1695 nucleotides. NCBI's taxonomy places the organism in Eukaryota, Metazoa, Chordata, Actinopteri, Salmoniformes, Salmonidae. The record is from Ensembl.